UAUAAGUCCUUCCCCCAAGCUAGGGAGCUGCCAAGGAGGAAAGAACCUGCUGAGAGUCCCAGACAACCUAAAACAGUGGAACAGCAAUAGACUAGCCUGCCUUCCUCCCUUCUGACUCAUUCCCAGAAGGUGGACUAAAAGAAAACUUCAGGAUUGCCCCCUGUGGAGGACAUCUGGGAGGACACGGCCAAGAGGAUCUCUCCCACGACGGAGCUGCUGGGGAUGAGCUGUCAUCUGCAUGGUUGGAGGGGUAGGAUGGAUACCCACGAGAAUGAGAUCACACCCAACUCCCAGCUGCUCUAGCGCAUCUCUGCCUUUCCAUUCCCAAAGCUGCCAUCUUAGGUCCUCUCUUCCCUGGACAGUGGAGAAAGCCCCAUAGAUCCUCAGAGGCCUUCUAGGCCAACCUCCUCCUUUUGGAAAGGACACAAGAAUCCUGAGGGCUUGAAUCCAGAAGUAGUAUGCUUGAAGCAGCUAAGUGGAUGGAAAGCCACCCAGGGCUCAAAUCUAGCCCUAGACACUUUGGGAUUCUAAGUCAGAAGGUCAUUUAAAAAACAAAAGAUCUCUCCAUUAGAAUGGACUCCUUUAUGAAAAGGACUGCCUCUUUGCUGUCUUUAUAUUGGUCCCCAUUAUAAUACCUGGAGCAUUGUAGGUACUUAAUAAAUGUUGAUUGCUUGCUUGAUGUA
This is a long non-coding RNA of Monodelphis domestica (gray short-tailed opossum), 683 nucleotides long. RefSeq lists it as uncharacterized. NCBI's taxonomy places the organism in Eukaryota, Metazoa, Chordata, Mammalia, Didelphimorphia, Didelphidae. The record is from RefSeq and is a predicted model, not a curated record.